RNAcentral lists this ribosomal RNA (500 nucleotides) under uncultured bacterium. RNAcentral's name for it is "partial 16S ribosomal RNA". It matches the Rfam family "Bacterial small subunit ribosomal RNA", at positions 30 to 523 of the family's 1533-position model. The record is from RNAcentral.
AUUGAACGCUGGCGGCAUGCCUUACACAUGCAAGUCGAACGGUAACGGGUCCUUCGGGAUGCCGACGAGUGGCGAACGGGUGAGUAAUGUAUCGGAACGUGCCCAGUUGUGGGGGAUAACUGCUCGAAAGAGCAGCUAAUACCGCAUACGACCUGAGGGUGAAAGCGGGGGAUCGCAAGACCUCGCGCAAUUGGAGCGGCCGAUAACAGAUUAGGGAGUUGGUGGGGGAAAGGCCUACCAAGCCUACGAUCUGUAGCUGGUCUGAGAGGACGACCAGCCACACUGGGACUGAGACACGGCCCAGACUCCUACGGGAGGCAGCAGUGGGGAAUUUUGGACAAUGGGGGAAACCCUGAUCCAGCCAUGCCGCGUGCGGGAAGAAGGCCUUCGGGUUGUAAACCGCUUUUGUCAGGGAAGAAAUCCUUUGAACUAAUACUUCGGAGGGAUGACGGUACCUGAAGAAUAAGCACCGGCUAACUACGUGCCAGCCGCCGCAGUAA